Molecule: long non-coding RNA, 950 nt
Filed under: Prunus dulcis (almond)
Lineage: Eukaryota; Viridiplantae; Streptophyta; Magnoliopsida; Rosales; Rosaceae
Description: sRNA ncRNA
Source: RNAcentral
AUUUGGGUUUAUGCAGAGUCUGCUUUGAGCUUCAUUGCCAUGAAAAUGGAGCUCAAGGACUCUACAAUCCUCACUUUCCUUCUUCUCUUCUUGCUUGCCACCCCUUGUUUUUCUAGAGGUUUGAAGUUCUGCCUUCAUGAUUUAUAUUCAAAGUUGAUUAAUAUGGCCAUAUUUAAUUAAGUUGAUUAUUUUUUUUUUGUUAAUUUUGUUUUGUUGGGUUUUAGUAGGUGGAUCAGAUGUAGUGGGUACUGAGGUUUAUGAGAUUGAUUAUAGAGGUCCAGAGACCCACUCAUCAAUCCCACCACCUGAUCACUCUCAUGGGAAGCCUUUGAUCCACAAAGAAAGUGCCAUGGCAAGUCCUAAACCUAAGAGCUCUAGGGCUUCUAGCAUGGGAAGAAAGGUAAGAACAUUACAUGGAUUGAUUUGAUUUGAUUUUUUUAUAAAAUUUUUUAAAACAAAUCUUACUGGGUUUCAGCUGUUCUAGUGGAAAAUUCCAUUCAAAAGUUCUUGCUAAUUUUAACUUGUAUGAUUAAUUAGGCGUUUAAUUACUUUUGCAUUGAUGUUUAUGCUUGUAAUUUUCUUUUGCAGUCCAAGCAAAUGCAUGGAUGAAGAUCUCUGGCAGUGAGAGUGAUAAUUUUGGUGAAAGUUUUUAGUACAGAUAUAUCAGUUAAGAACAUGCUGAGAUUGAUCAAUUAAUAUAUAAAUGAUUGAUUAGCAAUAUUUAAUUCAUUGUAUGUUUUAAUUGCCUUGUGUAAAUGAGGGUUGUGAGAUCUUUUAUGUUUGGAUCAAUAUCUAUUGUAAUUACCAUUAGUGCUACUUUAAUCAGGUUUGAGAAUUAAAGAAUGCAAAUUGCAAUAGGAAGAGUGUAAUUUCUUCAAAAUUUUAUGUUAUAAGAAUAAUGUUUAGCAGCUGCUAUAAUGAUCUUAAACCUUUCUUCUUUUCCUCUAUAA